AAUCAACGCUGGCGGCGUGCCUAACACAUGCAAGUCGAACGUGAAAGGGGCUUCGGCCCUGAGUAAAGUGGCAAACGGGUGAGUAACGCGUGGGUGAUCUGCCUCUGAGUGGGGGAUACCUUCCGAAAGGAGGGCUAAUACCGCAUGACAUCCUGUUCUUGGAUGAACGGUGAUCGAAGCUGGGGACCGCAAGGCCUGGC
This 200-nucleotide ribosomal RNA is filed under the name uncultured bacterium. RNAcentral's name for it is "partial 16S ribosomal RNA". It matches the Rfam family "Bacterial small subunit ribosomal RNA", at positions 32 to 216 of the family's 1533-position model. The record is from RNAcentral.